Molecule: long non-coding RNA, 998 nt
Organism: Cucumis melo (muskmelon)
Lineage: Eukaryota; Viridiplantae; Streptophyta; Magnoliopsida; Cucurbitales; Cucurbitaceae
Exons: 4
Source: RefSeq, a predicted model, not a curated record
GUUAUGUAGGGUACCCGUGAAUAGGAAGUUAACUGUUGUCCCUUAACGGGCCCAGUAGUGGGUCCCUUACUGGGUAUAUUUUAUACUCACCCUUUCCCUUCUUUAACUUUUCAGGUAAGGGUACAGCGAGGGGUAGACCGACGAGGGGCAAGAAGGAUGCGUGAAGGCCAUAUGGACGCGUCUGGUUUUCUUUAUGCUUCCGCUGAUGUAUUUUGUUAGAAUAUUUGGUUUUGUGAUUUUGAGUUUGAUGACUUGAGUAUUGUAUUUGAAACUCUCGUGACUGUGAUUUAAAAUAGGGCCCGAAACUGCUUUUGUAAUAUUUCUAACGUUUUUAAUGAAUCGUAACCGGUCCGUUAUGUUUUUUUAUGUUCUGUGGUCGAGUCGUAGUAUUGAGUAGUGACCUCAGCUUAGUCCGGAAAGUUGGGUCGUUACAGAACUGCUCACUUUCACCGUCGUACGUCCCUCUUUCGAUCGUCGUCGAGUGAAGCAGAGAAUACUAGCCGUUCGCGUGUGCGCCAGCUACAAACGAGCAAGUUGAGCCGUACCCGAGCCGCGAAUCCAAGCCGAGCCUAAGCUAAACCAAGCCAAUUCAUGAGCCGCGAGCUGAGCCGAGCCGAGCCAAGCCAAGCCGUGAGCCUAGACAAUUUGAGCUGAGCCGCGAGCCGAGCUGUUUUUCAACGCCAAUCUCCUGGUUCACUGAGCCGCGUAAGCCCUUCUAUCCGUGGCGAGUCCUGAUGAGUUUUGGUGUUAGCGAGGUGACGCUCGAGUUCAGGGGUGUUACGGCAAGUGUAGUUGGAACAACUCUCCUCUAUUUGAGUGGAUUCGUUUGGACGUCAAAUUGAACAAGGAAUUUAGCUACAAUUAAGGUAAGUGUAUGGCGAAGGGCAGACCGGCGAGGGGCAAGAAGGAUGCGUGAAGGCCAUAUGGACACGUAUGAUUUUCUUUAUCCUUCCGCUGAUGUAUUUUGUUACUUUUUAUUUUUCAUUUGUCAGAUGGAG